RNA transcript from Leopardus geoffroyi (Geoffroy's cat), 1812 nucleotides. It is a transcript of the gene named basal body orientation factor 1, with no coding region annotated. Lineage: Eukaryota; Metazoa; Chordata; Mammalia; Carnivora; Felidae. The transcript has 13 exons. The record is from RefSeq and is a predicted model, not a curated record.
CCGGCCGGGCGGCGGCAGAGAAACGUCGGUUACAGUAGGGUCCCUGGUGAAGCCGAGAUGCCGUCUAAGGGAAAGGACAAAAAGAAAGGCAAGAACAAAGGCAAAGACAAGAAGAAGAUAAUAAAAUCUGAUGAAUCUGCAGUGGACAGAGCCAAGGCCAGUGCCUCCCUCUGGGAGGCCAGGCUGGAAGUCACAGAACUCUCGAGGAUUGAGUAUCGUGAUACUUCGCGGAGACUGGCAAAAAGUAAUGAGGAGUUAAAGAAACAGCAGUAUAAAAUGGAGAAAGACACAAUGUCUGUAUUAAGUUACCUGAAGAAGCAGGAUCAGGAGAAAGAUAAUAUGAUUGAAAAACUAAAACAGCAAUUGAAUGAAACAAAGGAAAAAGCCAAAGAGGAGAAUGAGAAAUUGGAACAAAAGUAUAUUCUGCAAAUAAAUGAGCUGGAGGGAGAGUUCCAGCAAAAAGCCAAAGAAAUUGGCAUGAUUCAGACAGAGCUGAAAACAAUAAAACAAUUCCAGAAGAGAAAAAUCCAAGUGGAGAAAGAAUUAGAUGACCUCAAGGAGAAUUUAAGGAACAUGGAGCGGAAACAUCAGGAGACUCUUAGAAGAUUGGAGGGCAAGUUUUUUGAAGAAAAGCAUCGACUAGAACAAGAGGCUGAAAAGAAGAUAAUAAUGCUGGCAGAGAGAGCUCACCAUGAAGCUAUCGCGCAACUGAACCAUGCUGGAAGAGCCGUUUUUAAAGAGAAUGUUUAUCUCCAGAAAGCCCUCGCAUACCACCUGAAGGAAGCUGACGCUCUACAAAAAAACUCCCAGAAGUUGCAAGAGACUCAAACUUUCCUUUUACAUCAGAAGGAAAUCAAUGAUCUGUUGGUUAAGGAAAAGAUAAUGCAGUUUACCCAGCAGAGAUUACAAAUCCAAACUCUUCAGAAAAAGGUGGUAAGCUUGGAGACUGCCCUGAGUUGUAUGACCAGAGAGUUUGAGGCUGAAGUUCUAAAAAUGCAGCAACAGGCAAUGAUAGAGAACCAAGCAGGUCAGGUUGAAAUUGACAAGCUGCAACAUCUUCUCCAGAUGAAGGACAGGGAAAUGAACCGAGUGAAGAAGCUGGCCAAGAACAUACUGGAUGAGAGAACAGAAGUGGAAAGUUUCUUUUUAGAUGCUCUGCACCAAGUGAAGCAACAGAUCCUACUUGGCAGGAAGCAUUACAAAAAGGUAGCACAAGCUGCUUUCAAUUUUAAAAUGAGAGAGGCAUGUGCAGGAAGAACAGAAUAUCCCCAGAUCCGAACGUUCGAUGGCAAAGAGCACAGCACCAAUAGCAUAACUCAAGAUCUUAUGGAGGCUGAGAAAUGGACGGAUAUUCAAGGAAAUGUGGAUAUUGAAGAUUUGACCUGGGAGCAAAAGGAGAAAGUCUUGCGAUUGCUCUUUGCAAAAAUGAAUGGUUUUGUUUCCAGAAAAUAUAGCCAGAGCUCUAAGCCUUCAGUUCCAGACUAUGUUGUUGCUGAUGAUGGAGAAACAAAGGAAUUUGGGGAUGACAGUAAGCUUCAAGAUCAAACCUUCAUCACCCAGCAAGUACCAAUCUCAGACUCUUCUGGUGAACUGAUGAUACCCAAUAUUCAGAAAGAAUCACAAGAGUCUGACAUACCUGGGGACAGUACCUGACAUAGAAAGAGAUACCAAGACUUAUGUCCUGAAUUCUCAGCACCAUCAGUCACUAGUUGGGAGAUACUGGAUUGGCUUAAGUGUCAGGUCAAUUCGAAAGUUUCUUCAAAUGAAUCAGAAAAUAGUGUCUGUUUCCAAAAUAAAGUGCAUAGAAAGGGA